GGGGCAGUGGGAUGCGGGGCUGGAUUUGGGGCUGGAUGCGGGGCAGGGGCUGUGCUGUGGUGCUGAUGUGUGCUGACCCCGGUGUCCCCCCCCGCAGCGCAAGCCGGAGGAGCAGCCCCUGGAGCUGGAGGACGUGUGUCCCGAGAAGCCCCUCAAGCCCUCCCACAAAGCAGUUGCCUUAAACCCCCCGGCCAAGGGCAUGUCCUCGGCGGCCCCCGGGCCCCCCAAGCUGUCCCCUUGCUGCCACUCCCCGGCCCUGCGGCACCCGGCCAAGUGCCCCGUGGCGCUCCCCGCGGCCCCCUGCACUUUACCCGUCUGCCCCGCCGCCAGCUCCGCCGUCGCCCCCCGCUCCCCGGCCGACAGCCCCGUCCCCGUCCAGAGCAAGGGCAGCGACGGCGAGGACAAGCGCGGGGAGGGGCAGCCGCCCCGCGACUACCCCAAGUCCCUGGAGCCAGACCUGCCCCCGGGCUACAGCUACCCCGCGGCCAGCAUGGGCUUCUCGGAGGCGCACUCGGCCGAGCCGGCUGACCCCGACACGAUGCACGCGGGCUCCCCGCCAGCCGAGCCCGAGCAGUCGCGGACCUUCAGCCCCGCCGAGGAUGUGCUGAGGGAGCCCGGCCCCGUGCGGGAGCCGCCGGCCGGGGGGGCUGCAGCCGAGGGUCCCGGCGCGUUGCUGCACCGCCACCACCUCCUCCUCGCCCCGGGGCCGGCCCCGGCCGCGGUGGCCACCGAGGAGCCCUUCGGGGUGCGCCGCGAGGCGGCUCCGGCAGUGCUGGAGCAGAGCUCGGUGGAGCAGCAGCGCCCGGUGCCCGCGGUGGGGUCCUCACCGCUGGUCCCCCCCGGCGGCGAGGAGGAGGAGGAGGAGGAGGAGGACGAAGAGGAGGAGGAGGAGGGCGACAGCGAAGGCUCGGGGCCGGAGGGCAGCUGCGACGAGGAGGAGGGCGAUGGCCCCAGCCACGCGCCCAGCGGGCGGCAGGGCUGCCCGGGCGGGCUGGAGGCGCUCAUCGCCGCCGGCAUCGACCUGGGGGAGCUGCCGGCGCUGGGGUCCCCCGAGGAGCCC
This 1060-nucleotide long non-coding RNA is filed under the name Anser cygnoides (Swan goose). RNAcentral describes it as "lncRNA (ENSACDG00005000286.1)". The record is from RNAcentral. Lineage: Eukaryota; Metazoa; Chordata; Aves; Anseriformes; Anatidae.